UCACCACUCUGGCCUUCUUGGCUUAGAUCAAGUGUAGUAUCUGUUCCUAAUAGUUUAACCGCUAUUAUUGAGGCACGCCUCUAUCGGUUAUCCUAUUUUUGCCGCCUCAGUUCCUUGGGCUCUGCUUGCACCCCUUGGAUGUGAUGACCUUGCUACUGCAGGAUCGGCUAGCGUCGUCGGAGGAUC
Small nuclear RNA from Laccaria bicolor S238N-H82, 186 nucleotides. It matches the Rfam family "U2 spliceosomal RNA". Rfam says of the family: U2 is a small nuclear RNA (snRNA) component of the spliceosome (involved in pre-mRNA splicing). Complementary binding between U2 snRNA (in an area lying towards the 5' end but 3' to hairpin I) and the branchpoint sequence (BPS) of the intron results the bulging out of an unpaired adenosine, on the BPS, which initiates a nucleophilic attack at the intronic 5' splice site, thus starting the first of two transesterification reactions that mediate splicing. The record is from Rfam. NCBI's taxonomy places the organism in Eukaryota, Fungi, Basidiomycota, Agaricomycetes, Agaricales, Hydnangiaceae.